UUGGGACUGAGACACGGCCCAAACUCCUACGGGAGGCAGCAGUAGGGAAUCUUCCACAAUGGACGAAAGUCUGAUGGAGCAAUGCCGCGUGAGUGAAGAAGGGUUUCGGCUCGUAAAACUCUGUUGUUAAAGAAGAACACCUUUGAGAGUAACUGUUCAAGGGUUGACGGUAUUUAACCAGAAAGCCACGGCUAACUACGUGCCAGCAGCCGCGGUAAUACGUAGGUGGCAAGCGUUGUCCGGAUUUAUUGGGGCGUAAAGCGAGCGCAGGCGGUUUUUUAAGUCUGAUGUGAAAAGCCUUCGGCUUAACCGGAGAAGUGCAUCGGAAACUGGGAGACUUGAGUGCAGAAGAGGACAGUGGAACUCCAUGUGUAGCGGUGGAAUGCGUAGAUAUAUGGAAGAACACCAGUGGCGAAGGCGGCUGUCUAGUCUGUAACUGACGCUGAGGCUCGAAAGCAUGGGUAGCGAACAGGAUUAGAUACCCUGGUAGUCCAUGCCGUAACGAUGAGUGCUAAGUGUUGGAGGGUUUCCGCCCUUCAGUGCUGCAGCU
RNAcentral lists this ribosomal RNA (550 nucleotides) under Levilactobacillus brevis. Its description in RNAcentral is "bacterial SSU rRNA". It matches the Rfam family "Bacterial small subunit ribosomal RNA", at positions 313 to 853 of the family's 1533-position model. Lineage: Bacteria; Bacillati; Bacillota; Bacilli; Lactobacillales; Lactobacillaceae. The record is from RNAcentral.